RNAcentral lists this ribosomal RNA (476 nucleotides) under uncultured bacterium. Its description in RNAcentral is "bacterial SSU rRNA". It matches the Rfam family "Bacterial small subunit ribosomal RNA", at positions 26 to 507 of the family's 1533-position model. The record is from RNAcentral.
GGCUACGAGGACGAACGCUGGCGGCGUGCCUAACACAUGCAAGUCGAACGAGGUCCAAGGAAGCUUGCUUCCUGAAGAUCUAGUGGCGAACGGGUGAGUAACACGUGAGAAACCUGCCUCGGAGUGGGGAAUAACUCGGGGAAACUCGAGCUAAUACCGCAUACCUUCACAUGAUCGCAUGGUCGAGUGAAGAAAGAAUUUCGCUCUGAGAGGGUCUCGCGGCCUAUCAGCUUGUUGGUGGGGUAACGGCCUACCAAGGCAACGACGGGUAGCUGGUUUGAGAGAACGAUCAGCCACACUGGGACUGAGACACGGCCCAGACUCCUACGGGAGGCAGCAGUGGGGAAUCUUGCGCAAUGGGCGAAAGCCUGACGCAGCAACGCCGCGUGCGGGAUGACGGCCUUCGUGGUUGUAAACCGCUUUCAGCAGGGACGAAAAUGACGGUACCUGCAGAAGAAGCCCCGGCUAACUACGUG